RNAcentral lists this small RNA (103 nucleotides) under Cebus imitator (Panamanian white-faced capuchin). RNAcentral's name for it is "7SK RNA (ENSCCAG00000015073.1)". It matches the Rfam family "7SK RNA", at positions 2 to 107 of the family's 331-position model. Rfam says of the family: 7SK was discovered as an abundant small nuclear RNA in the mid-70s but a possible function has only recently been suggested. The record is from Rfam by way of RNAcentral. Lineage: Eukaryota; Metazoa; Chordata; Mammalia; Primates; Cebidae.
GAUGUGAGGGCGAUCUGGCUGCGACGUCUGUCACCCCAUUGAUCGCCAGGGUUGAUUCGGCUGAUCUGGCUGACUAGGCAGGCGCUUGUGGUCCCAGCUACUC